AUUGAACGCUGGCGGCAGGCUUAACACAUGCAAGUCGAGCGGAGCGAGGGUGCUUGCACCUUAGCUUAGCGGCGGACGGGUGAGUAAUGCUUAGGAAUCUGCCUAUUAGUGGGGGACAACAUUCCGAAAGGAAUGCUAAUACCGCAUACGCCCUACGGGGGAAAGCAGGGGAUCUUCGGACCUUGCGCUAAUAGAUGAGCCUAAGUCGGAUUAGCUAGUUGGUGGGGUAAAGGCCUACCAAGGCGACGAUCUGUAGCGGGUCUGAGAGGAUGAUCCGCCACACUGGGACUGGGACACGGCCCAGACUCCUACGGGAGGCAGCAGUGGGGAAUAUUGGACAAUGGGCGGAAGCCUGAUCCAGCCAUGCCGCGUGUGUGAAGAAGGCCUUUUGGUUGUAAAGCACUUUAAGCGAGGAGGAGGCUACUUAGAUUAAUACUCUGGGAUAGUGGACGUUACUCGCAGAAUAAGCACCGGCUAACUCUGUGCCAGCAGCCGCCGCGGUAA
RNAcentral lists this ribosomal RNA (504 nucleotides) under uncultured bacterium. Its description in RNAcentral is "partial 16S ribosomal RNA". It matches the Rfam family "Bacterial small subunit ribosomal RNA", at positions 30 to 523 of the family's 1533-position model. The record is from RNAcentral.